This 503-nucleotide ribosomal RNA is filed under the name uncultured bacterium. RNAcentral's name for it is "partial 16S ribosomal RNA". It matches the Rfam family "Bacterial small subunit ribosomal RNA", at positions 30 to 523 of the family's 1533-position model. The record is from RNAcentral.
AUUGAACGCUGGCGGCAGGCUUAACACAUGCAAGUCGAGCGGGGUGAUGGUGCUUGCACUAUCACUUAGCGGCGGACGGGUGAGUAAUGCUUAGGAAUCUGCCUAUUAGUGGGGGACAACAUCUCGAAAGGGAUGCUAAUACCGCAUACGUCCUACGGGAGAAAGCAGGGGAUCACUUGUGACCUUGCGCUAAUAGAUGAGCCUAAGUCGGAUUAGCUAGUUGGUGGGGUAAAGGCCUACCAAGGCGACGAUCUGUAGCGGGUCUGAGAGGAUGAUCCGCCACACUGGGACUGAGGCACGGCCCAGACUCCUACGGGAGGCAGCAGGGGGGAAUAUAGGACUAUGGGGGGAACCCUGAUCCAGCCAUGCCGCGUGUGUGAAGAAGGCCUUAUGGUUGUAAAGCACUUUAAGCGAGGAGGAGGCUCUUUUGGUUAAUACCCAAGAUGAGUGGACGUUACUCGCAGAAUUAGCACCGGCUAACUCUGUGCCAGCCGCCGCCGUAA